Long non-coding RNA from Eriocheir sinensis (Chinese mitten crab), 1500 nucleotides. RefSeq lists it as uncharacterized. Lineage: Eukaryota; Metazoa; Arthropoda; Malacostraca; Decapoda; Varunidae. The transcript is spliced from 2 exons. The record is from RefSeq and is a predicted model, not a curated record.
GUAGAGGGGGGUGAAGUGAACGAUGCCAUUGUUCCGCUCAAAGAUUUUUUCAUAAGUUAUCGGACGUGUUUUAAAUGUUUCGUAUUUUUUAUUUUUUUUAUUGUUGACCUCCUUAUUAUAGUUUACGGACAUGGAAUGCGUUCUUUUGGACAUAAUUCAAAAUAGUAUUACUUUACAUGCAUGUUGCGGGUGUCAAAAUGGGUGGUGAACUGUAUGAGUUUUAAGGAUAAUUUAACUUAAUGAGCAAAACUAAUGAAAGGGUCGUGAAGGAAAGCAGCUAAAUAUUUCAGAGGAGCGCCAGUCUUCUCCAUCUCCCAGACGCUCUAUAGCCCGUAAUAGAGUGCACAGAAUGACGCCAUAAUCGCUAUUUCAUGAUUUAAUGCCGUUUUUUAGCAUCAUUUUUAGGUUUUGUGAGCUGGUGGGUAUGGAAAAAGAUUUGGUUUAAUUAUACAAUGUGAUUUAUCUCCAGGAUGAAGAGGAAAAUGGCAAUAUAUAAGGGUGAAGCCAUAGGACCGCCAUAGACACCCACAAAACGCUUUAUUUCCCCGGCCAUGGUAAAUAUUGUGCCUUUUAGUGAAGGAACACAAAUAACGUAACACCAAUGAAAGGUAAACACGUGAAAAAGCAGCACAGAGGACGAAUAGGAGGAGAAAUAAGGCCUAGAUAAGGGUGUACCGAGCACCAAGACCCAGGCCGAGACCAAGAGGCGGGGACCAAACAAAACCCGCCGCCGAGUCCAUAUUUCUCCCUUUUACCCGUGUUUUACGCCGCCAAGAUGAGCGAGACGAGUGCCGUGUUGGAGAAGCCACUCCGUGCCGUCUGUGCUCUGAAGAACGAAGGAAGAACAGAAGAAAGGAAGGAAGGCCAUCUUGGAAGACUCAAGAACCAGUCACCCCAGUCCAAGGAAAGGUCACAAGAGGUCAAGGAGGUCACAGUACGAAGAAGCAGUCCAGUCCAUUGUAAAGUUAUUGGAAAAGGAAGGGAAAGGAUAGGGAAGGAAAGGAAAGGAUAGGAAAGGGAAGGGAAGGGAAGGAACAGAGAAGUGUAUAUAUAGUUAAGCUUAAAGUCACAUACAGUUAGAUACAUACAGUUACACACAUAGAUUUACAUACAGUUUCGAUGGUGGGUUUGACAAAGGCGGUUGACUCAGUGGGUAGCGGAUUGGCCCGGCCCAUGGUGUUAUGGACGCUCUCAACACAAGUACAGUAAACCCUCAAUAUAACGGACUAAUUUAUUUAAUUUAUUUAUUUAUUUUCACAUCAGAGGACACGUCUCAAGGGCAAUAAAAAGAGUCCCAAAAAAAUCCCACUACUCGCCGCUCCUAUAAAAGAUAAAAGUAAAGAGUAGCCAAAAGAGAGGUCAAUUUUGGAUGGAGAGGUGUCUUGAUACACACUCAGUUUGGGGGGAACUUAGUCCGUUAGGGCUGAAAGUCCGUUAUAAGCGGCGAAGAUUUAAAAAAAACUUAAAAUAAUAAAACGACGAAGCUAGUAAACGUAGGUA